GCCUGGAUAGCUCAGUUGGUUAGAGCAUGGUGCUGAUACCGCCAAGGUUGCAGGUUCGAUCCCUGGAUGGGGCA
Non-coding RNA from Zootoca vivipara (common lizard), 74 nucleotides. The record is from the annotation of a RefSeq genome assembly. Lineage: Eukaryota; Metazoa; Chordata; Lepidosauria; Squamata; Lacertidae.